GAUGAACGCUGGCGGCGUGCCUAAUACAUGCAAGUCGAGCGAACAGACGAGGAGCUUGCUCCUCUGACGUUAGCGGCGGACGGGUGAGUAACACGUGGAUAACCUACCUAUAAGACUGGGGUAACUUCGGGAAACCGGAGCUAAUACCGGAUAAUAUAUUGAACCGCAUGGUUCAAUAGUGAAAGACGGUUUUGCUGUCACUUAUAGAUGGAUCCGCGCCGCAUUAGCUAGUUGGUAAGGUAACGGCUUACCAAGGCAACGAUGCGUAGCCGACCUGAGAGGGUGAUCGGCCACACUGGAACUGAGACACGGUCCAGACUCCUACGGGAGGCAGCAGUAGGGAAUCUUCCGCAAUGGGCGAAAGCUUGACGGAGCAACGCCGCGUGAGUGAUGAAGGUCUUCGGAUCGUAAAACUCUGUUAUUAGGGAAGAACAAAUGUGUAAGUAACUAUGCACGUCUUGACGGUACCUAAUCAGAAAGCCACGGCUAGCUACGUG
This 497-nucleotide ribosomal RNA is filed under the name uncultured bacterium. RNAcentral's name for it is "partial 16S ribosomal RNA". It matches the Rfam family "Bacterial small subunit ribosomal RNA", at positions 28 to 507 of the family's 1533-position model. The record is from RNAcentral.